AACGAACGCUGGCGGCAUGCCUAACACAUGCAAGUCGAACGAGAUCUUCGGGUCUAGUGGCGCACGGGUGCGUAACGCGUGGGAAUAUGCCCUUUGGUUCGGAAUAACAGUUGGAAACGACUGCUAAUACCGGAUGAUGACGAAAGUCCAAAGAUUUAUCGCCAGAGGAUGAGCCCGCGUAGGAUUAGCUAGUUGGUGUGGUAAAGGCGCACCAAGGCGACGAUCCUUAGCUGGUCUGAGAGGAUGAUCAGCCACACUGGGACUGAGACACGGCCCAGACUCCUACGGGAGGCAGCAGUGGGGAAUAUUGGACAAUGGGCGAAAGCCUGAUCCAGCAAUGCCGCGUGAGUGAUGAAGGCCUUAGGGUUGUAAAGCUCUUUUACCCGGGAUGAUAAUGACAGUACCGGGAGAAUAAGCUCCGGCUAACUCCGUGCCAGCAGCCGCCGCCG
RNAcentral lists this ribosomal RNA (449 nucleotides) under uncultured bacterium. RNAcentral's name for it is "partial 16S ribosomal RNA". It matches the Rfam family "Bacterial small subunit ribosomal RNA", at positions 29 to 523 of the family's 1533-position model. The record is from RNAcentral.